CGGUUACAGAGAGAAGCGAUCCCGCGAGGAGGAGCAAAUCUGAAAAAAGACGUCCCUAGUUCGGAUUGUAGGCUGAAACUCGCCUACAUGAAGCUGGAAUUGCUAGUAAUCACAGGUCAGCAUACUGUGGUGAAUACGUUCCCGGGCCUUGUACACACCGCCCGUCACACCAUGAGAGUUGAGAAUACCCGAAGCCCAUGUCAAAGUGGUCCGAAGGUAGGCUUGAUGAUUCGGGGUGAAGUCGUAACAAGGUAAC
RNAcentral lists this ribosomal RNA (256 nucleotides) under uncultured bacterium. RNAcentral's name for it is "partial 16S ribosomal RNA". It matches the Rfam family "Bacterial small subunit ribosomal RNA", at positions 1234 to 1500 of the family's 1533-position model. The record is from RNAcentral.